CUAACGGUCUAUUUCAAGGUGACGUCACUUACUAUAAAUAGCUGCCGUCGCCGCCGCCCCUCCCGGAAGCCGCGCAGGCGCCCAGUUCCCGCUGCGUUUUACCGCCGCAGAGGGUGGCUCCGUGAUACGAAGACCUUGACACUCGCAGCUGCAUCCCUAGAGCCUAGCGCUGUGUUUGACCUACAGCAGAGACUCAGUGAAUACUUCCCAAAAGACUGAACGCAUCAUUGCCAGCAUCAGGAUGCCAUCCGGGGCCCAGAGGGAGCCAGGAGGAUCAGAGAAAAGCUUUUGGACUCUUGCCAUGCCUUACAUUAGCAGCAUCUUCUCCAGGCCCCGACAGCCAGC
RNAcentral lists this long non-coding RNA (345 nucleotides) under Fukomys damarensis (Damara mole-rat). Its description in RNAcentral is "lncRNA (ENSFDAG00000029479.1)". The record is from RNAcentral. Lineage: Eukaryota; Metazoa; Chordata; Mammalia; Rodentia; Bathyergidae.